UGUUUCGGCUAGGGGGUCAUCCCGACUUACCAACCCGAUGCAAACUACGAAUACCGAAGAAUGUUAUCACGGGAGACACACGGCGGGUGCUAACGUCCGUCGUGAAGAGGGAAACAACCCAGACCGCCAGCUAAGGUCCCAAAGUCACAGUUAAGUGGGAAACGAUGUGGGAAGGCACAGACAGCCAGGAUGUUGGCUUAGAAGCAGCCAUCAUUUAAAGAAAGCGUAAUAGCUCACUGGUCGAGUCGGCCUGCGCGGAAGAUGUAACGGGGCUAAACUGUGCACCGAAGCUGCGGCAGCGACACUAUGUGUUGUUGGGUAGGGGAGCGUUCUGUAAGCCUGCGAAGGUGGCCUGUGAGGGUUGCUGGAGGUAUCAGAAGUGCGAAUGCUGACAUAAGUAACGAUAAUGCGGGUGAAAAGCCCGCACGCCGGAAGACCAAGGGUUCCUGUCCAACGUUAAUCGGGGCAGGGUGAGUCGACCCCUAAGGCGAGGCCGAAAGGCGUAGUCGAUGGGAAACAGGUUAAUAUUCCUGUACUUGGUGUUACUGCGAAGGGGGGACGGAGAAGGCUAUGUUAGCCGGGCGACGGUUGUCCCGGUUUAAGCAUGUAGGCGGAGGUUCCAGGUAAAUCCGGUACCUUUUUAACGCUGAGGUGUGAUGACGAGGCACUACGGUGCUGAAGUAACAAAUGCCCUGCUUCCAGGAAAAGCCUCUAAGCAUCAGGUAACAUUAAAUCGUACCCCAAACCGACACAGGUGGUCAGGUAGAGAAUACCAAGGCGCUUGAGAGAACUCGGGUGAAGGAACUAGGCAAAAUGGUGCCGUAACUUCGGGAGAAGGCACGCUGAUAUGUAGGUGAAGCCCCUGCGGGUGGAGCUGAAAUCAGUCGAAGAUACCAGCUGGCUGCAACUGUUUAUUAAAAACACAGCACUGUGCAAACACGAAAGUGGACGUAUACGGUGUGACGCCUGCCCGGUGCCGGAAGGUUAAUUGAUGGGGUUAUCCGUAAGGAGAAGCUCUUGAUCGAAGCCCCGGUAAACGGCGGCCGUAACUAUAACGGUCCUAAGGUAGCGAAAUUCCUUGUCGGGUAAGUUCCGACCUGCACGAAUGGCGUAAUGAUGGCCAGGCUGUCUCCACCCGAGACUCAGUGAAAUUGAACUCGCUGUGAAGAUGCAGUGUACCCGCGGCAAGACGGAAAGACCCCGUGAACCUUUACUAUAGCUUGACACUGAACAUUGAGCCUUGAUGUGUAGGAUAGGUGGGAGGCUUUGAAGCGUGGACGCCAGUCUGCGUGGAGCCAACCUUGAAAUACCACCCUUUAAUGUUUGAUGUUCUAACGUUGGCCCCUUAUCGGGGUUGCGGACAGUGUCUGGUGGGUAGUUUGACUGGGGCGGUCUCCUCCCAAAGAGUAACGGAGGAGCACGAAGGUUAGCUAAUCCUGGUCGGACAUCAGGAGGUUAGUGCAAUGGCAUAAGCUAGCUUGACUGCGAGCGUGACGGCGCGAGCAGGUGCGAAAGCAGGUCAUAGUGAUCCGGUGGUUCUGAAUGGAAGGGCCAUCGCUCAACGGAUAAAAGGUACUCCGGGGAUAACAGGCUGAUACCGCCCAAGAGUUCAUAUCGACGGCGGUGUUUGGCACCUCGAUGUCGGCUCAUCACAUCCUGGGGCUGAAGUAGGUCCCAAGGGUAUGGCUGUUCGCCAUUUAAAGUGGUACGCGAGCUGGGUUUAGAACGUCGUGAGACAGUUCGGUCCCUAUCUGCCGUGGGCGCUGGAGAAUUGAGGGGGGCUGCUCCUAGUACGAGAGGACCGGAGUGGACGCAUCACUGGUGUUCGGGUUGUCAUGCCAAUGGCAUUGCCCGGUAGCUAAAUGCGGAAGAGAUAAGUGCUGAAAGCAUCUAAGCACGAAACUUGCCCCGAGAUGAGUUCUCCCUGAGACUUUAAGU
This 1938-nucleotide ribosomal RNA is filed under the name Klebsiella aerogenes. RNAcentral describes it as "partial 23S ribosomal RNA". It matches the Rfam family "Bacterial large subunit ribosomal RNA", at positions 911 to 2833 of the family's 2925-position model. Lineage: Bacteria; Pseudomonadati; Pseudomonadota; Gammaproteobacteria; Enterobacterales; Enterobacteriaceae. The record is from RNAcentral.